AUUGCUUCUCAGCCUUUUGGGUAACAUCAAGUGUAGUAUCUAUUCUUAUCAGUUUAACAUCUCCAAAAAUAUUUGAAUAAAAGAGGCCAAAUACGCAGAUGAUUGUGAGCGAUUUAAAUUCCAAUGGGUUUUGCUUCCCUUUCUGUGUUGCUUUUU
Molecule: small nuclear RNA, 156 nt
Filed under: Pteropus alecto (black flying fox)
Lineage: Eukaryota; Metazoa; Chordata; Mammalia; Chiroptera; Pteropodidae
Description: U2 spliceosomal RNA
Rfam family: U2 spliceosomal RNA
About the family: U2 is a small nuclear RNA (snRNA) component of the spliceosome (involved in pre-mRNA splicing). Complementary binding between U2 snRNA (in an area lying towards the 5' end but 3' to hairpin I) and the branchpoint sequence (BPS) of the intron results the bulging out of an unpaired adenosine, on the BPS, which initiates a nucleophilic attack at the intronic 5' splice site, thus starting the first of two transesterification reactions that mediate splicing.
Source: Rfam by way of RNAcentral